UAUGAUCAUUAUACGUUGGGUCUGUGUACUGGAUGUGUGUACCACAGUUUUUUGGACUAUGUCUAUCUGUCUGCUUAUCUAUCCGAACACACCACAAAAUGGAGUACUGUACUUCCUGAAUGGGCAACAUUUGCACACACCAACAGCAGCUUCAACUGACAAAAGCUGCACAGUACAUCAAGCAAGAAAGAGAAGACAUGAUGCACUUGUCCAGUAGAUGGCGCUGUGAGCAGGACUUAGUGAUCCAGACAGCCUUGGUCCGAGUUGCGAGGGCAGCAGUCUAAGAAGGAAAGCCCAGACUCACGGUCCCCGGCCUCCUCCUCCAGCUCUACCGGAAGGACACCGAGACAUUCCCAGGCGAGCUGUGAGACAUAACCCCUCCAGCGUGUCCUAGGUCUCUGUCCGGGUGGGCAUGCCAGGAACACCUCACCCGCAAAGGAGGUGGGCUUGCACUGUAUGUGAACAAACUGUGGUGUCAUCCUGGCCAUGUCAACAUUAAAAUCUAAAAUCUAUACAGCAUUUAUUUUAAAUCCAUUUUUAUUGCAGGGAAGAAACCCAAUACCAAUAUCUACCAAUAUCACAUUUUAAUGCUAAAAUGGGGCCGAUAAUAUUGUUGAGCCGAUAUUAUCGGACAUCCCUAAUAAUAAGUAGGGGUGUAAAUCUCUUUUGUGGUGAACGAUUUCAUACGCAACUACAAU
Molecule: long non-coding RNA, 698 nt
Organism: Dunckerocampus dactyliophorus (ringed pipefish)
Lineage: Eukaryota; Metazoa; Chordata; Actinopteri; Syngnathiformes; Syngnathidae
Exons: 3
Source: RefSeq, a predicted model, not a curated record